CUGUCCGAUGAUUUAUUCUAAAUACUUUCAUUCUUCUGAUGCGCUAGUUUGUGUUGCGGUGCGGAAUCAAUUUGGAGACCUGAACUGAGGAAAU
This is a non-coding RNA of Triticum urartu, 94 nucleotides long. The record is from Rfam. NCBI's taxonomy places the organism in Eukaryota, Viridiplantae, Streptophyta, Magnoliopsida, Poales, Poaceae.